This 403-nucleotide ribosomal RNA is filed under the name Verrucomicrobiota bacterium. RNAcentral's name for it is "Verrucomicrobia bacterium partial 16S ribosomal RNA". It matches the Rfam family "Bacterial small subunit ribosomal RNA", at positions 355 to 776 of the family's 1533-position model. The record is from RNAcentral. Lineage: Bacteria; Pseudomonadati; Verrucomicrobiota.
UGGGGAAUAUUGCACAAUGGGUGCAAGCCUGAUGCAGCAACGCCGCGUGAACGAUGAAGGUCUUCGGAUCGUAAAGUUCUGUUGCAGGGGAAGAUAAUGAUGCUACCCUGUGAGGAAGCCCCGGCUAACUACGUGCCAGCAGCCGCGGUAAUAUGUAGGGGGCUAGCGUUAUCCGGAUUUACUGGGCGUAAAGGUUGCGUAGGUGGUCUUUCAAGUCGGUGGUUAGAGGCUACGGCUCAACCGUAGUUAGCCUCCGAAACUGGAAGACUUGAGUGCAGGAGAGGAAAGUGGAAUUCCCAGUGUGGCGGUGAAAUGCGUAGAGAUUAGGAGGAACACCAGUAGCGAGGGCGGCGUUCUAGAAUGCAACUGACACUGAGACACGAAAGCGUGGGUAGCAAACAGG